GCGUCCGAGUUGUAAUCUAUAGAAGUGUUUUCCGUGCCGGACCAUGUCCAAGUCCCUUGGAACAGGGUAUCAAAGAGGGUGACAAUCCCGUACUUGACAUGACCACCGGUGCUCUGUGAUACACUUUCUACGAGUCGAGUUGUUUGGGAAUGCAGCUCAAAAUGGGUGGUAAAUUCCAUCUAAAGCUAAAUAUUGGCGAGAGACCGAUAGCGAACAAGUACCGUGAGGGAAAGAUGAAAAGCACUUUGGAAAGAGAGUUAAACAGUACGUGAAAUUGUUGAAAGGGAAACGAUUGAAGUCAGUCGUGUUCUUUGGACUCAGCCGGUUCUUCCGGUCUAUUUCCUUUGAACGGGUCAACAUCAGUUUUGUCCGGUGGAUAAAGGCAGGAAGAAAGUGGCUCCCUCGGGAGUGUUAUAGCUUUCUGUCACAUACACUGGAGGAGACUGAG
Molecule: ribosomal RNA, 448 nt
Filed under: Vanrija musci
Lineage: Eukaryota; Fungi; Basidiomycota; Tremellomycetes; Trichosporonales; Trichosporonaceae
Description: partial large subunit ribosomal RNA
Rfam family: Eukaryotic large subunit ribosomal RNA
Source: RNAcentral